Molecule: long non-coding RNA, 2171 nt
Organism: Anas platyrhynchos (mallard)
Lineage: Eukaryota; Metazoa; Chordata; Aves; Anseriformes; Anatidae
Source: RefSeq, a predicted model, not a curated record
CUGGGCAGCCUGCUCUAAGGAACCUGCUUUGUCAGGGGGGUUGGACCCGAUGACCUCUUGAGGCCCCUUCCAACCCCUACAAUUCUGUGAUCCACCCUGUAGGAACAGCAACACGACCCACGGCCAAGACACAGCACUUGUAGGAGUUGGUGACAGCACAUGGCAAGAGGACAUGCAGCUGAGCACCCUCUGUGCUGUUGCACAAAUAACCAUGGGGACGGAAAACAAGCAUUUGGGGAAUACAAACCCGGCCUGCCUCAUCUCAGCACAGCUGCCCCAACAGCUCCCAGGUGUUUCCAGCUCUUAAGCUGUGUGUUAGCACCUGGUCUCGUGCUAGGCCAGUGGUAUUUAGCUGGAUGUUUGCUCUUACUGUGGGCUGGAGUGGGGAGUGGUGGUGUUAGGAGGUUUAUAGCUCAACACAAGCUGAGUGGGAUUUUGCAGAACAAAGAAAAGGUUUAAGGAAAGAGUGAUGAAGGUGAAUUGUGUAACUCAGCUGGCAUCCUGGAUGACCCGUGUGCGUCGCUCUGCAACAAAAGCCUAAGUGAUGCUUUCCCCAGCCAGAUGGCAACGAGGGUGUGUGAGCUGCGGCUCCUGAACUCGGGCUGAACCUCGCGGCGCAGAAUGAUGCUAUUAUAGUCCCUGCGUAGGCUGCCGGCACAGCUGCCUCCUAGCCCGGGAGGCCCGGGCGCGUGGAAAGCAGCGGCCGGUCGGGAGGAGAUUGCUCAUUAUUUCUGCUGAUACUGGGGAAGAUCAUUAGCUUGACCACAGCACUUCUCAGUCUGAAAAGUCGGCUGAUGUGGUCACUUAACCAGCACAGGCUUUUCUGUGUGAUUUUUUUUUUUUUUUUUUUUUUUUUUUUUUCUUCAGCAUUUUUUACCUCUUAUAUGCUGCAUUUGCCUGCUCUUUAAUUAUGGGGGCUGGGGAGAUGAAAUUGUGAAGAAAUAAUCUUUAUUCUGUUCUCCUCCUCUUUUUUUCCCCUCUUUUUCUAUUUUUUUUUUUUUUUUCUGGCUUAUGAGGCCUUAUUAAAUCUUUCCAGUUUUUAGGGGAGGGGACUGUUCUUAAUGAUGCAAAAGAAUUUUAAUGCAGCUCUCGUUAAUGGUAAAGCUCUUAAUUACUGGUGAAAAAAUCAGCCCCGUAUGAGCACUUAGUAUUUGGUACCUUUAAAACUUUCCACACAAGAGAGCUCCUCUUCACCUCUGAGUUUCCACUCUGUUUCCAGCGAUGUGCGUAUAACUCUCCAAAAAUAUUGCUGUGAUCUCAUCCUAUAAAAUAACCCUGGUCAGUGUUGGGCCAAAUCCUCAGGCUGUAUCAGCUACAGGGGCAGGAGGCUAUGGCCAGCAAACACGCUCUCUGUUGCAGAAGCCAUAGCAAAAGGCAAGCCCUAGUGGAAACUUUGUCCUCCCAGGGGUAGAGGAUGAUGAAAUGUGGUAGUGUGGGUAGACCUGGUGGCUCUGCAGGGAGGUGUGAGUCCAGGCAGCUUUCAUGGGGGCAAGACUUCUGAGAUAUUUAGGCAUUCUCACCCCCAGCAAUAAGAGGUCCUAUUUCCCCUGGGCAGACCUUGGGAAGUUUCUGCACAUGCUGGAUCCUUGCAUCCUCUCUUUUGUUUUUUUAAUGCCCUGAGUCAUAUUUGUUGGGCUCAGGACUGGCUUCUUCCUUCAGUUAGCUGCAGUAUCACUAAGUGAUUGCAAUCUCUAGAGCAAGUAACUACCAAAGUCUGCAAAUAAUGAGCUAUUUAAUUAGUUAGGAUUAGAUGUCAGUAAUGACAUAGGCUCUUGGCUGCUUUUCUGCUUCCUCUGAGCAUCUUCUCUUUGUGUCCUCCACAGAGACUUUCUGAAAGAGCAUGGUAGGUGAGAAUUUGUCUCCUGAAGGUGCACAUGUAUGACUGUGCAGUGAGUCCUUAGCCCUGGGUACUCUCGGAAGAGAUGAAAGUAGGACCAUCCGAUCACCUCUUGUGUCCUGCUGUUUUAGGGAAGUAGGGUUUGUACUACUUUGUAGAAUCACAGAAUAUCCAGAGUUGGAAGGAACCAACAAGGAUCACUGACUCCAACUCCUGGCUCCACACACAGAAACACCCAGAAAUCAAGCCACGUGUCUGAGAGCAUUGUCCAAACAUUUCUUGAGCUCUGACAGGCUCAGUGCCGUGACCACUGCCCUGGGGAGCCUGUCCCAGU